Nannospalax galili (Upper Galilee mountains blind mole rat) is the source of this 111-nucleotide small nuclear RNA. NCBI's taxonomy places the organism in Eukaryota, Metazoa, Chordata, Mammalia, Rodentia, Spalacidae. The record is from Ensembl.
ACCCUUGUUGAUUGUGACAGUGUAUAUGGUAAAAUUGGAAUGAUCCAGAGAAGCGUGGAAUAGCCUCUGCACAAGGAUGACAGGUAAGUUUGUGAUGUGUUCCAUGCAUUU